GGCUGUGGCCUUGACAGGUCUCACCAGCUAAGCAGGCUUGUGCCUGGUCCGUACUUUAAUGGGAGAGCUGCAAGGGAGAGCAUGGGUGCUUCUGGCU
This 97-nucleotide ribosomal RNA is filed under the name Chrysemys picta bellii (western painted turtle). Lineage: Eukaryota; Metazoa; Chordata; Testudines; Emydidae. The record is from RNAcentral.